GCGAACAGAUGAGGAGCUUGCUCCUCUGACGUUAGCGGCGGACGGGUGAGUAACACGUGGAUAACCUACCUAUAAGACUGGGAUAACUUCGGGAAACCGGAGCUAAUACCGGAUAAUAUAUUGAACCGCAUGGUUCAAUAGUGAAAGACGGUUUUGCUGUCACUUAUAGAUGGAUCCGCGCCGCAUUAGCUAGUUGGUAAGGUAACGGCUUACCAAGGCAACGAUGCGUAGCCGACCUGAGAGGGUGAUCGGCCACACUGGAACUGAGACACGGUCCAGACUCCUACGGGAGGCAGCAGUAGGGAAUCUUCCGCAAUGGGCGAAAGCCUGACGGAGCAACGCCGCGUGAGUGAUGAAGGUCUUCGGAUCGUAAAACUCUGUUAUUAGGGAAGAACAAAUGUGUAAGUAACUAUGCACGUCUUGACGGUACCUAAUCAGAAAGCCACGGCUAACUACGUGCCAGCAGCCGCGGUAAUACGUAGGUGGCAAGCGUUAUCCGGAAUUAUUGGGCGUAAAGCGCGCGUAGGCGGUUUUUUAAGUCUGAUGUGAAAGCCCACGGCUCAACCGUGGAGGGUCAUUGGAAACUGGAAAACUUGAGUGCAGAAGGGGAAAGUGGAAUUCCAUGUGUAGCGGUGAAAUGCGCAGAGAUAUGGAGGAACACCAGUGGCGAAGGCGACUUUCUGGUCUGUAACUGACGCUGAUGUGCGAAAGCGUGGGGAUCAAACAGGAUUAGAUACCUGGUAGUCCACGCCGUAAACGAUGAGUGCUAAGUGUUAGGGGGUUUCCGCCCCUUAGUGCUGCAGCUAACGCAUUAAGCACUCCGCCUGGGGAGUACGACCGCAAGGUG
This 847-nucleotide ribosomal RNA is filed under the name uncultured Staphylococcus sp. Its description in RNAcentral is "bacterial SSU rRNA". It matches the Rfam family "Bacterial small subunit ribosomal RNA", at positions 66 to 895 of the family's 1533-position model. The record is from RNAcentral. Lineage: Bacteria; Bacillati; Bacillota; Bacilli; Caryophanales; Staphylococcaceae.